This 1017-nucleotide ribosomal RNA is filed under the name Apiospora garethjonesii. RNAcentral's name for it is "SSU rRNA". It matches the Rfam family "Eukaryotic small subunit ribosomal RNA", at positions 83 to 1110 of the family's 1831-position model. The record is from RNAcentral. Lineage: Eukaryota; Fungi; Ascomycota; Sordariomycetes; Amphisphaeriales; Apiosporaceae.
GAAACUGCGAAUGGCUCAUUAAAUCAGUUAUCGUUUAUUUGAUAGUACCUUACUACUUGGAUAACCGUGGUAAUUCUAGAGCUAAUACAUGCUAAAAAUCCCGACUCACGGAGGGAUGUAUUUAUUAGAUUAAAAACCAAUGCCCUUCGGGGCUCUUUGGUGAUUCAUAAUAACUUUUCGAAUCGCAUGGCCUUGCGCCGGCGAUGGUUCAUUCAAAUUUCUGCCCUAUCAACUUUCGAUGGCAGGGUCUUGGCCUGCCAUGGUGACAACGGGUAACGGAGGGUUAGGGCUCGACCCCGGAGAAGGAGCCUGAGAAACGGCUACUACAUCCAAGGAAGGCAGCAGGCGCGCAAAUUACCCAAUCCCGACUCGGGGAGGUAGUGACAAUAAAUACUGAUACAGGGCUCUUUUGGGUCUUGUAAUUGGAAUGAGUACAAUUUAAAUCCCUUAACGAGGAACAAUUGGAGGGCAAGUCUGGUGCCAGCAGCCGCGGUAAUUCCAGCUCCAAUAGCGUAUAUUAAAGUUGUUGCAGUUAAAAAGCUCGUAGUUGAACCUUGGGCCUGGCUGGCCGGUCCGCCUCACCGCGUGCACUGGUUCGGCCGGGCCUUUCCCUCUGGGGAACCGCAUGCCCUUCACUGGGUGUGCCGGGGAACCAGGACGUUUACUGUGAAAAAAUUAGAGUGUUCAAAGCAGGCCUAUGCUCGAAUACAUUAGCAUGGAAUAAUAGAAUAGGACGUGUGGUUCUAUUUUGUUGGUUUCUAGGACCGCCGUAAUGAUUAAUAGGGACAGUCGGGGGCAUCAGUAUUCAAUUGUCAGAGGUGAAAUUCUUAGAUUUAUUGAAGACUAACUACUGCGAAAGCAUUUGCCAAGGAUGUUUUCAUUAAUCAGGAACGAAAGUUAGGGGAUCGAAGACGAUCAGAUACCGUCGUAGUCUUAACCAUAAACUAUGCCGACUAGGGAUCGGGCGAUGUUAUUAUUUGACUCGCUCGGCACCUUACGAGAAAUCAAAGUCUUUGG